This 786-nucleotide ribosomal RNA is filed under the name uncultured Actinomyces sp. RNAcentral's name for it is "bacterial SSU rRNA". It matches the Rfam family "Bacterial small subunit ribosomal RNA", at positions 28 to 776 of the family's 1533-position model. Lineage: Bacteria; Bacillati; Actinomycetota; Actinomycetes; Actinomycetales; Actinomycetaceae. The record is from RNAcentral.
GACGAACGCUGGCGGCGUGCUUAACACAUGCAAGUCGAACGGGCUUCUGGGGUUCUGGCUUUUUUGGUUGGGGUUCUGGGGGUUAGUGGCGAACGGGUGAGUAACACGUGAGUAACCUGCCCUUCACUUCUGGAUAACCGCUUGAAAGGGUGGCUAAUACGGGAUGUUUCUGGGUCUGUCGCAUGGCGGGUUCGGGAAAGAUGGCACUGUUUGGUGUUUUUGGUGGGGGAUGGGCUCGCGGCCUAUCAGCUUGUUGGUGGGGUGAUGGCCUGCCAAGGCUUUGACGGGUAGCCGGCCUGAGAGGGUGGGCGGUCACACUGGGACUGAGAUACGGCCCAGACUCCUACGGGAGGCAGCAGUGGGGAAUAUUGCACAAUGGGCGGAAGCCUGAUGCAGCGACGUCGCGUGAGGGAUGGAGGCCUUCGGGUUGUGAACCUCUUUCGCCAGUGAGGAAGGCCUUGCCUGUGUGGUGGGGUUGACGGUAGCUGGGUUAAUUGAAGCGCCGGCUAACUACGUGCCAGCAGCCGCGGUAAUACGUAGGGCGCGAGCGUUGUCCGGAAUUAUUGGGCGUAAAGGGCUUGUAGGCGGUUGGUCGCGUCUGCCGUGAAAUCCUCUGGCUCAGCUGGGGGCGUGCGGUGGGUACGGGCUGGCUUGAGUGCGGUAGGGGAGGCUGGAACUCCUGGUGUAGCGGUGGAAUGCGCAGAUAUCAGGAGGAACACCGGUGGCGAAGGCGGGUCUCUGGGCCGUUACUGACGCUGAGGAGCGAAAGCGUGGGGAGCGAACAGG